This 540-nucleotide small RNA is filed under the name Pan troglodytes (chimpanzee). Its description in RNAcentral is "processed transcript". The record is from RNAcentral. Lineage: Eukaryota; Metazoa; Chordata; Mammalia; Primates; Hominidae.
GCGCAUGCGCAGUUUCCUACAGUCCCGGAAACGGAUCGCGUUGGGUGAAGGUGACGGCGUCGAGCAAAGGUGGGAGACAAUGCCUUGGAACUGCAAAUCUUCUCUGAGUCUGAAGCAUCCUGCCUGACGCGUUUGCUCACAUUGACCCGUGCCUUCCCUCAGUCCCUCUCAUCUCUACUGAGAUUCCGUCUCACCCUGACCCUGUGACAUGAACUUCUGAAGAGUCCACUGGGCAUGGUCCUGGGAAGGGCUCACACCCAGACAUGGAUGGAGACGGGUUGACAUUCAGGGACGUGGCCAUCGAAUUCUCUCAAGAUGAGUGGAAAUGCCUGAACUCUACACAGAGGACUUUAUACAGGGAUGUGAUGUUGGAGAACUACAGGAACCUGGUCUCCCUGGAUCCAUCUGUGAUAGCCUCUCUUCUUAUCCAAGCAAAGGGCUGAGAUUCUUGAAAAGCCACAGCACAUCAUGUUCCAUUCAUUUUAUAAGUGGGAAAUUCUCUUCCUGACCAGAGUAUUAUCCUAUGUGGGAGCACAGGAA